RNAcentral lists this small RNA (625 nucleotides) under Pongo abelii (Sumatran orangutan). Its description in RNAcentral is "processed transcript". Lineage: Eukaryota; Metazoa; Chordata; Mammalia; Primates; Hominidae. The record is from RNAcentral.
AGCGGAAGUGCUUCAGCGGUGGGGGCCGGGGAAGUGUCUGUAGCGUCCCUCCCUCUCAACCACAAUAACAGGCGGAGGGUCGGCGUAGGUACUUUGAACUCAAGUAAACAAAAGGGAAUAUUUUCUCGUUGAUACUGGAGACUGCACAACAAUGGGGCCACGAAAAAAAAGUGUGAAAACAUGUAUCAUGAAUAAUGAAAUUCCAGAAGAAAUGACAGCAGAUGAAACAAAGGACUAUAUGAAUCAACUUUCACAUGAAGUACUUUGCCAUAUUUUUAGGGGUAAGAAGAAGGACGAGAAGUAGAAAAAAAAUGGAUCAGCUAAAUAUUCAACAGGUACCUGCCUCUGCAGGAUAUCAUGUGUAUGGAAUGUCUUUCCCGGAAACUAAAGGAAGCAGUGACCCUAUAUCUGCGAGUUGUGAGAGUUGUAGAUCUCUGUGCAGGGCGGUGGUGGGAAUACAUGCCAAGUGGCUUUACAGAUUCCAGUUUUCUAACACUAUUAAAGAAGAUGCCAGAUGUUGAACAGCUAUAUGGCCUUCACCCUCGAUACCUUGAGAGGCGAAGAGUAAGGGGCCAUGAGGCUUUUAGCAUUCCAGGAGUCCUGGAAGCUUUGCAGGCAUGCCCAA